UACGGGGGGAGCAAGCGUUGUUCGGAUUUACUGGGCGUAAAGGGCGCGUAGGCGGCGUGACAAGUCACUUGUGAAAUCUCCGGGCUUAACCCGGAGCGGCCAAGUGAUACUGUCGUGCUAGAGUGCGGAAGGGGCUACUGGAAUUCUCGGUGUAGCGGUGAAAUGCGUAGAUAUCGAGAGGAACACCUGCGGCGAAGGCGGGUAGCUGGGCCGACACUGACGCUGAGGCGCGAAAGCCACGGGAGCGAACGGG
Molecule: ribosomal RNA, 253 nt
Filed under: uncultured bacterium
Lineage: Bacteria
Description: partial 16S ribosomal RNA
Rfam family: Bacterial small subunit ribosomal RNA
Source: RNAcentral